AUAAAUAAUUUUUACCUUUUGGGUCAAAAUAUUGGGAUCUGGCUUAUAUUCGUUUUGACUAGAAGGAGGUGGAUGGUGAAAAAUGUUUCCUGGAGUAAUCAUUAUAUAUUACUUUGACAAUCAUGAUUAUCUCUCCUUUAUGGGUAUUACUGAAAGGAGUUGUCAAGAAUGACUGGAAAUUUGAAGUAAACAUUGGAAAAAACUCAGAGAAAGCUAAUACAGGAAGGAGACUGAAACACCAAGUAAUUAAGAAAAAAAAUAUGGGCUAGAAUCUAAUGUUAGUAGUUACAUUUCAACAAGAGUGUCAAGGGGAGCUUGCAUCUCUGAAAGAGGUCAAAGACACCAAGAUCAAAAUUUCAAUCUGUGAGAAACUCUAGCAUAAGAGGUGACAAAUUAAUCCUGCUGAAACUUUCUGAAUUGGAAAGGGAUACUGUGAAACAAAUAGGCUGAUUAAAUUUAUGUGAAAUGUAGCUUCUAGUAAGAUUUGGAGAAAAAAAAAUGUACCCGUGUCAAAAAAUGACCAUAAUAAAGGACCAGAGAGAAGACCUUUAGGCCUAUUUUUAUGUCUAUAAUCAGGAAAGGCAAGACAUCUCCCAAGCUAGUACAACUGCAAGGGAAUUCACAUAUCCUUUCAGAUAUAGGCUCUUGCAAAUGCCUAAUUAUCUAUGUUAAUGUAGGCAAUAUUUUACUUCAUGUGAGCUGAUUCCCCUCUUUUGGCAGACCCGUAAGAGGACUUCAGUGAAGUAGCAACUCAGUUUACAUUUUGGCUUUAGUUAUGACAUGUAGGGAAAUCUGUUGUUCAUCUGCAGCAGCCAUACUUGUAAACACCCGUACCAUUUCCAGUAACAGAGGAAAAAACUCCAACAAACAAAUCCAUACAAGGAUUUUAAACCUGAGGAUUGUGUGACUGUGUAUGCCUCCUAUCUUCCUACCCCCAAAACACCAAGGUUGGCAAACUGGGACAAAACUUCAAACAAGUAUUCAAAGCCAUGUAGAACACCAUUUUGCCAUUAAGAGUAUACCUAACAGCCAUGAGCAAAAGCUUGCCUCUGCUGGUAGCUCUCAGCAUACAUUUGGAGUAGUUAAUUAUCCUUCAGCACAGGACUUCCAGACCCAACUUUUUAAGUACAAGUCUUCAAGAAUUGAAUAUCUUACUCCCCACCUUUUUUCUUUUUGCCCUUCCGCUUCCUUUUUAGCAUACUUUCAUUGAGACACCUGCUUUCUGCCUGCAAUAAAAGGAAAGCUCCA
Molecule: long non-coding RNA, 1248 nt
Organism: Pezoporus flaviventris
Lineage: Eukaryota; Metazoa; Chordata; Aves; Psittaciformes; Psittacidae
Exons: 2
Source: RefSeq, a predicted model, not a curated record